UAGUUGUUAAACUUAAUUUUUUUGGCGGUUCCCUAACCUACCACAGGAAUUUGUUGAUUUUGAUGGAUAACCCGCUUUUAUUUUUUCCUUUGUUAAUUUUAUGUACGGCUGUUUUUAUUUUAAUCUAAAUUUUUUUAUUAAAAAUUUGUCUUUUAUUUCAGGUCUAUGUGUAGGGUAUACAGAGGUUUUCAAUGAAUUACUAUUUUAUGAAUAAAUCUUUAAUUAUUUUUAUAAUGUGGAUGUGGGAGUAAAUUUAUUAAUAAAAUUUUACAUUGAAAAGGUUUUGGUGAAAGUACAUAUCGCCCGUCACUCUUGUUUAAAG
RNAcentral lists this ribosomal RNA (322 nucleotides) under Plicatalloptes sp. 1 LMS-2018. RNAcentral's name for it is "partial 12S small subunit ribosomal RNA". Lineage: Eukaryota; Metazoa; Arthropoda; Arachnida; Sarcoptiformes; Alloptidae. The record is from RNAcentral.